Non-coding RNA from Pelobates cultripes (western spadefoot toad), 1509 nucleotides. Lineage: Eukaryota; Metazoa; Chordata; Amphibia; Anura; Pelobatidae. The record is from the annotation of a GenBank genome assembly.
CAAUGGACUUGGAGUCUGCUUCGCAUCCUGGAACUUCUCAGGACUUGAAUGCUGUUGAAAGGGUAAUUUAAAUAUUUUCUAUUAAAUUUGAGUUUAGCUGAACUGGCAAACGCCCAUAAAAAUGUUUAUUUCAUAAACAUAGAAUAUUUAUGAACUAGACAUGGACUGUUAUAGACAGUAUAGAAAUUCAAGUUUUGCAGUUAAUCAUUUAUAAUUAUUUUAUUAAUUUAAUAUUUGUAUUUUAUUUUAACAGAAACAGCAGUUAAUACAACGGCUUCUUUUAGAAAAUGCCUCGAACAAACCACGCUUCCAAGAGACACCUGAGACAGUCGGUUCCUGAAGAAGUUACUACCAGCACUGAUGAAGAGGGCAGAAUUGGGAACACAGAUUGGUCACCUGUGGAAACUGCAUUACGAUGCCAACUGUGGAGGAGUCUAUUUGUUGUAAAGAAAUUGAUAAUGUAUGCCAGCUUGAAGAUGCACUUUGUAUUAUCCAUAAUACUUUCUUCAAGCGAUUCUGUCAGGAGGAUUUUGCCCACUUCCUCUACUGCUUCCUUGGGGUUGAGUCCCAGAGGCCUUCUGAAGCGUUAUUUAACAGGUAGGUAUCUUUUCUUACUACUAGGGAAUUGUGAAAUCCUUACGCUUGAAAAAUGAUUAUUUCAUAUGUACUCUUUAUGACUUAAUCAUUUAGAUUGUGUUUGUAUUUCACUAAAAUUCUAAAUAAGAGAUAUACAGAGACAUAUUUUGAUAUACUUUUUCUCUGUAUAUCUGCUUGGGUUGGUAAUUCAGUAAAAUUACAACACAUUUUUAAUUAGUAUUUCAGAAAGAUUCUAUCUUAAUGAAAUAUUUUUUUUUUAAAGUGAUUGACAGUGUAUAGUAGCCCCUCAUUGCUUUAUAGACCUAAUUGCUGUAGUCUCGCAAAUGCGCUAUUACAGCAUUUUGGUCGACUUUUAGUGCUGAAGUGCCAGAAGUUGAUGAAGAGCAUACUGAGUAAAAUGUCAGUGACCACAAGGUUCAGGUAAGUAAACUCACCCCCCUCUUGCAUUUAAAAAAAAAAAAUUAAAAAUGCUAAGAUAACAUUUGUAAUAUUUAGUAUUACUAUUUUACAUGCUACAACUGUGUCAUAGCCAGACAUCUUUAUUUAAAAAAACUGACCCAAGUUUCUCUAUGUAGGCAAAUGAGGAAGACGGCAUAUCAAGGUUUUACCACCUGGAUUCAUGGGUACCUUGGACGAAAAAAAUCGAAGGCCCAUUUCACGAUGUGCAGUUCAUGACAUUCGUACUAAUUUAACAGACCCAGAAAAUUCAUGUCGGAUUCAUUAGACUCCAAGAUUAUAAUGCCAUCGAUAUGGCUGAUGGCUUUUGAAAACAUUUUUUAACCCCCUUAAGGACCGGCCUGUUUUUGCGAUGUACGUUAAGGACCAGGGCAGUUUUGACACUUUUGUGGUGUUUAGCUAAAAUUUUCCUCUCAUAUUUACAGUUCUCAUACAAGUUAUAUAUUUUUUUUUUUU